This 840-nucleotide ribosomal RNA is filed under the name Vibrio parahaemolyticus. RNAcentral's name for it is "partial 23S ribosomal RNA". It matches the Rfam family "Bacterial large subunit ribosomal RNA", at positions 586 to 1429 of the family's 2925-position model. The record is from RNAcentral. Lineage: Bacteria; Pseudomonadati; Pseudomonadota; Gammaproteobacteria; Vibrionales; Vibrionaceae.
UUGUCCUGUGACUGCGUACCUUUUGUAUAAUGGGUCAGCGACUUAUAUUCAGUGGCAAGGUUAACCAUCUAGGGGAGCCGUAGGGAAACCGAGUCUUAACUGGGCGUUCAGUCUCUGGAUAUAGACCCGAAACCAGGUGAUCUAGCCAUGGGCAGGUUGAAGGUUGAGUAACAUCAACUGGAGGACCGAACCGACUAAUGUUGAAAAAUUAGCGGAUGACUUGUGGCUAGGGGUGAAAGGCCAAUCAAACCUGGAGAUAGCUGGUUCUCCCCGAAAGCUAUUUAGGUAGCGCCUCGGACGAAUACUACUGGGGGUAGAGCACUGUUAAGGCUAGGGGGUCAUCCCGACUUACCAACCCUUUGCAAACUCCGAAUACCAGUAAGUACUAUCCGGGAGACACACGGCGGGUGCUAACGUCCGUCGUGGAGAGGGAAACAACCCAGACCGCCAGCUAAGGUCCCAAAUUACUACUAAGUGGGAAACGAUGUGGGAAGGCUCAGACAGCCAGGAUGUUGGCUUAGAAGCAGCCAUCAUUUAAAGAAAGCGUAAUAGCUCACUGGUCGAGUCGGCCUGCGCGGAAGAUGUAACGGGGCUAAGUAGUAAACCGAAGCUGCGGCAAUAUACUUUUGUAUAUUGGGUAGGGGAGCGUUCUGUAAGCGGUUGAAGGUGUGUGGUAACGCAUGCUGGACGUAUCAGAAGUGCGAAUGCUGACAUGAGUAACGAUAAAGGGGGUGAAAAACCUCCUCGCCGGAAGACCAAGGGUUCCUGUCCAACGUUAAUCGGGGCAGGGUAAGUCGACCCCUAAGGCGAGGCCGAAAGGCGUAGUCGAUGGGAAACGGG